RNAcentral lists this ribosomal RNA (253 nucleotides) under uncultured bacterium. RNAcentral's name for it is "partial 16S ribosomal RNA". It matches the Rfam family "Bacterial small subunit ribosomal RNA", at positions 524 to 776 of the family's 1533-position model. The record is from RNAcentral.
UACAGAGGGUGCAAGCGUUGUCCGGAAUUAUUGGGCGUAAAGAGCUCGUAGGCGGUUUGUCGCGUCUGCUGUGAAAACCCGAGGCUCAACCUCGGGCCUGCAGUGGGUACGGGCAGACUAGAGUGCGGUAGGGGAGAUUGGAAUUCCUGGUGUAGCGGUGGAAUGCGCAGAUAUCAGGAGGAACACCGAUGGCGAAGGCAGAUCUCUGGGCCGUAACUGACGCUGAGGAGCGAAAGCAUGGGGAGCGAACAGG